This 595-nucleotide ribosomal RNA is filed under the name uncultured bacterium. RNAcentral's name for it is "bacterial SSU rRNA". It matches the Rfam family "Bacterial small subunit ribosomal RNA", at positions 28 to 636 of the family's 1533-position model. The record is from RNAcentral.
AGUGAACGCUGGCGGCGUGCCUAACACAUGCAAGUCGAACGAGAACGGAACUAGCUUGCUAGUUUGUCAGCUAAGUGGCGCACGGGUGAGUAAUGUAUAGAUAACAUGCCCUUUACAAAGAAAUAACAGUUGGAAACGACUGCUAAUGUCUUAUAUGCCUUUAAUACAAAAGUAUGCAAGGGAAAGAUUUAUCGGUAAAGGAUUGGUCUGUAUUGUAUCAGUUAGUUGGUGAGGUAAUGGCUUACCAAGACAAUGACGCAUAACUGGUUUGAGAGGAUGAUCAGUCACACUGGAACUGAGACACGGCCCAAACUCCUACGGGAGGCAGCAGUGGGGAAUAUUGCACAAUGGGGGAAACCCUGAUGCAGCGACGCCGCGUGAAGGAAGAAGGUUUUCGGAUCGUAAACUUCUAUCAGCAGGGAAGAUAGUGACAGUACCUGACUAAGAAGCCCCGGCUAACUACGUGCCAGCAGCCGCGGUAAUACGUAGGGGGCAAGCGUUAUCCGGAUUUACUGGGUGUAAAGGGUGCGUAGGCGGCGAAGUAAGUCAGAUGUGAAAGCCCGAGGCUCAACCUCGGGACUGCAUUUGAAACUGC